CAGCCGUAAACAAUGUGCGUUAGGUGUGUCGGUAACCACGUGUUACUGAUGCGCCGAAGAGAAAUCGUGAAACGCACCACCUGGGAAGUACGGUCGCAAGGAUGAAACUUAAAGGAAUUGGCGGGGGAGCACCGCAACGGGAGGAGCGUGCGGUUUAAUUGGAUUCAACACCGUAAAACUCACCAGGGAAGACUGUUACAUGAAGGCCGAGAUGAAGACUCUGCUAGAUUUUCAGAGAGGAGGUGCAUGGCGUCAGUGACU
RNAcentral lists this ribosomal RNA (261 nucleotides) under uncultured archaeon. RNAcentral describes it as "partial 16S ribosomal RNA". It matches the Rfam family "Archaeal small subunit ribosomal RNA", at positions 748 to 1008 of the family's 1478-position model. The record is from RNAcentral.